RNAcentral lists this non-coding RNA (19 nucleotides) under Arabidopsis thaliana (thale cress). The record is from RNAcentral. Lineage: Eukaryota; Viridiplantae; Streptophyta; Magnoliopsida; Brassicales; Brassicaceae.
UCCGCCUUUGGUGUGCAUU